Molecule: ribosomal RNA, 253 nt
Filed under: uncultured bacterium
Lineage: Bacteria
Description: partial 16S ribosomal RNA
Rfam family: Bacterial small subunit ribosomal RNA
Source: RNAcentral
UACGGGGGGGGCAAGCGUUGUUCGGAAUUACUGGGCGUAAAGGGCGCGUAGGCGGCCUUCUAAGUCGGACGUGAAAUCCCUCGGCUCAACCGAGGAACUGCGUCUGAUACUGGAAGGCUUGAAUCCGGGAGAGGGAUGUGGAAUUCCAGGUGUAGCGGUGAAAUGCGUAGAUAUCGGGAGGAACACCAGUGGCGAAGGCGGCUUCCUGGCCUGUUCUUGACGCUGAGGCGCGAAAGCUAGGGGAGCAAACGGG